RNAcentral lists this long non-coding RNA (1158 nucleotides) under Pogona vitticeps (central bearded dragon). RNAcentral's name for it is "lncRNA (ENSPVIG00000014046.1)". Lineage: Eukaryota; Metazoa; Chordata; Lepidosauria; Squamata; Agamidae. The record is from RNAcentral.
GCUGGAUUAUACCUUGCGCCCAUGUCUCGGUCUGAUAAUUUGAUAUACAUUCUGGAACUCCAUCUAUGCAUUCUCAAUAUGAGUCUAUGGAACUGUCCUUUCUGGUGCCUUAUCAAGUAUUCAUUUUGACUGGAAUGAAUGUAGCUUGGAUGUUGUCUGCACAAAGAACACCUGGCAGCUGAUGUUCCCUCUGAACCACCAUGUCAAAAAUGGCAAUGUUUCAAGACCUACGCCUGGCUCCACUGCUGAACAAAAACACUGAACUACACUGAUUUGCUUGUGUAGGUCAUCCAAAGCUAGUUGUUCCCCACCCUGCUGGGAAGCUGUCCUUUGAUUAGGGUUGAUCCAGAUAAUUGACCCCAUCCAUGCAGUUAUAGUAUUGGACACACUGUGGGGCAUUUGUUGUACCUUAAGGCAGUGGUCCCCAACCUUGGGCCUCCAGAUGUUCUUGGACUGCAGUGACGUAUUCAUCAAUGGUAUCAAACGGGGAAAAAUGUAGAGAUCAAUUUUUAAAAAAUCUAUUUUUUUGACAGGCUUUGUGAAUUUCUCCAUAUCCCCCCUAUUCCUUCUAGGUCAAAAUAAAUAAACAGAUAAGCUGCUUUCCUGUCUAGUUUGCUUGCCAUAGGCCACCGCAGUACUGAAAGUUUAAAACAUGUUUUUUGGGGAUUUUUUCUUUGUUAAAGCAUUGCACAACUCUCAUGGAGAGUUGCAUGAUAUUUGGUGUUGGUUUUGGUUAUUGCUGCUGCGUGUGGUUUGUUCCAGUGUGGACUGUAUCAUAGUCAUUGUGUCUACAGACUCUGCACUGAUGUCAACUGUAGUUUCCUCCUGAUUAAGAUUUAAAAUCAACAUAAAACCCUAAGCCUAUGCUAGUCCCUUGUAGUCAGUAGCUGAAUGUUGAGUCGGCCCUUACAGAAAUCUCAUUGAUUCAAUAGGUCUGUUCCAGUUGAUCUUCUAAUAUGAUUCAGGCCACAGUUUCAAACCUUGGUUAGCCAGGUUGUACGUCAGAAAGGAACUUGUUUGAUCAGAGUGCUACAUGCUUUAAAGAAGAGAAAAGAAAUUGGGGAACUGCAUGCAAAUUUAAAAGUUCAAUUUCUGGUGCUUUUGCAGGCAAUGAUAGGAGAUUAUGGUUCUCUCAAAUAAAAUUUAGUAUUUGAUUCA